Molecule: non-coding RNA, 3460 nt
Organism: Monodelphis domestica (gray short-tailed opossum)
Lineage: Eukaryota; Metazoa; Chordata; Mammalia; Didelphimorphia; Didelphidae
Source: RefSeq, a predicted model, not a curated record
AGUUCCUUGGUACGUUGCGCUCGAUGCCGUUCUCCUUUGUCUGCGGGAGACGUCGGCAGGUCUUCUUUCUGAAGAUUCUGCCCUUCCUCGGGAAGAGGAAGAGGGAAUGGUUUCUGGGUGCUUUGCCAUCAGGUCCCAGCCUCUCAGAUUCAUGAAGGCAAUGAUUCAACUAUUGUGCUCAAAGGAACAACAAACUGGAGGAAUUCCAUGGGGACUGGAACAACCUCCAGGAAUUGACGCAGAGCGAGAGGAGCAGAACCAGGAGAACAUUGUACACAGAGACCAACACACUGUGGCACAAUUGAAUGAAAUGAACCUCCCCACCAGCAGCAAUGCAAUGAUCCAGGACAAUCCUGAGGGCCUUAGGAGAAAGAACACUAUCCACACCCAGAGGAAGAACUGUGGGAGUAGAAACACAGAAGAAAAACAACUGCCUGACCACAUGAGUCAAUGGGGACAUGAUUGGGGAUGUAGACGCUAAACAAUCACACCCAAAAAAUUCCACCAUCAACAACACGGAAAUGAAUCUUGAUCAAUGACACAUGUAAAACCCAGUGGAACCGCGUGUCGGCUAUGGGAGGGGUAGUGUCUUGGUUUUUAAAUCAAAUAUAAGGUGGUCGCCAGGGAAAUAUUCCCAAUUAUUUAAAUACCCAAGUCAACUGGGUUUUAUAGAGAUUUUAAUUAAUACAAAUGUGGAAUUAAAGAAAAGAGAGAAAAAGGAAAUAAGUAUGAAGGGCCUUAAGCCAACAUGGCCUAGACCUGAGUCUUAAGAGAGAUCAGUCAGUCAGUCUUUUAACACUCACCCCAAGGUCUGUCUAAGCAAGGAUUCUAGUGACACCAGGCCAGCUCCAUCUCAGCUGACUUCACCAGAGAGAGUUCCAGCCAGAGUCCUCCUUAAAGAGCCUUCCAGCCAGAUACUGUUCCAAAGGGCCUCUCUCCAGAGCCUCCAGAGGGACAGAGCCCUCAGAGGAGCUCCAGCGAGACCUCCUUUGAGAUUGUCCUCCAAGAGCUUCCCUUCUCCAGAGCCUCUCUCAAGAGAUUUUUCCCAAGCGAUCCUCAUCAGAGAUCCUCCAAAAGGAUUUUUUUCUCAAGAGAUUCUGCUUUUCUUAUAUAGGGGUUUUUCUCCUAUGUCACCUCCCCUAAGUCCUUACAUCUACCAAUCACUGUAGAUGUUUUCCCAUCUGAAUUCCUGAUAAGUCGACUAAUCUCCUCAGUAAGUCUGAACCAGUGAAAACACAGCUGAGUCAACUAAUCUCAUUAAGAGAAAACUUGCCCGACCCUUUUAGGUACCUAUCAUCCCAUUGUAUCAAUUCUAAAAAACAGGCAUGGCUCAAAGAACUCCUUGCCUUAUUAUAAGCAUGGGUCCAAAUACUUUCAUUGUUUAGCAAGGAGUUUUCUCCCCUAAAACAGUCUUAAGUACGGGUGGAGUAGAGGUCCUCCCAUUUCUGAUCCUGGCGAGUUUUCACAUCAAAAUGGGGAAUGUUUCCCAGUAGGGAAUUUGUUCCAAUGGAGCAUUCCUCAAUGUGGAAAUUUUUAACAUUCACAAGUCUGAGAAAUUUCAAGAUUUACAUGUCCCACAUGAACAGGAAUACCAUCGACAGCCUACCGGGCAAGAAAAAUGAGGUUUCCUUGGCAUGCUUGGUGCUGGAUGAAGCCUUGUUGGCUUUUUGUGUUUACUGUUGUCUUUCCCAGAAGUUCUCUAGCCAUCCAUCUAGCCAAUCAUACAUUCUGGAAUUUUGCCAGAAAUCAAUGGCAAUCUUUCUCUCUUCUAGCUUACAGAAUCCACUCAAUUGCCUUUUGUGAAAAUGAAGAAACAUUUACCCUUUUGGACCUGAUUUGCACUCAUCAAGAGCAUAGAGGUGCACCCUUACUAUAUCCCUAUCCAUGAAUUCACUGUUAGCCACAUUUGCUCUGUCCUUUCCAGGUCAAAGAUUAUUCUUGGCCAAACAGUCCCUCUCCCUUUCUCUCUCAAAACAAAUACGCACACAAUUACACAUAUUUCUUAAGCUUACCAAUACCUGGCACAUAGAAGUUAGGUCCUGAGGAUAUACAGAAUAAAUAAAAAGAGUCCCUGCUGGCAAGUUUACAUUCUGCCUGGAGAAAAACAUCUACAGAGUAAUUGUUGGGUAUGUCUUCAGUGCCUUUUUCUGUGUCCUGCUUUAGCUAUAUUUGGUCUAUUUUGGUCUAUUGUCUUAUUGUUGUGAUUCUCUUAAACAUUUAUUAUUUCUACAGCAUUUUCUUUCACCUUCUCAUUAUUCAGGAUAUCAUUACUGAGUGUUUCAUUUAAUUAUGUGCCUUUUUCUUAUGUUCUCUGAAUUGUAUUUUUUACUUUAUUAUUAUGGAUAAAGGGCAUAGUUAAUAUUUCUACCUUAUGUAAAAAUGUAAAUUAAUAUCAAUAAUGAUAAAUUCCAGGUUCUUAUUUUCCAUAGAGUUUUAUUAAUAAUCACUAAAGAUAGAAAAAGCAGAUUAAAGCCUAAUUUAACCCAACUGACCACUGCCUGGCUCUCAGUCAUGGUCCCACCCAGCUGACUCCAAGGGAAUAGAGAGAGUGGGUAUGUCUUGCCCCACAUUUUUAUCCUUUCUCUUGAACCCAGACCCAUAACCUUCAGUUCCAGGUAGUGUUCUUAGGGCUUUUCACCUGUGACCUCUGUUUGGAGUGUUCAUGUGACAUCCAGCCACACAGUAAGGUAGGGACAAGCUGUGGGGAAGAGAAAUGGAUUCUAUCUAAACAAUCCCCCCUGUGAUUCUUUGGGAAACAACCAUGUUGAAAUGUCCCAGAUUUACAUGUCUAGUCUCCCCAGUGAAUCAUUUUACAUAACCAACUUAUAUUUCUAAAGAUCUCUUAUUAGAUGUACAUACAAUAUCGCACUUUCUAAGGGGAAAUUACAAUAAUACAAAGAUAAGAGGGAAAUGAAAAGAGAUGUUAUUAAAUUUUAUACUUAUUACAUUUAUUUAUGAUUUCUUAUGUUGUUGUUCAUGGUUAAUUUUUGCUGUUGCUGAGAAAUUUCUAUGUCCUCAGAUAUUACCAUUCAGGAGCCCUUUCAUUGAAAUUUUUCAACAAACUGAUCAGCUCUAUGAUGUUCUUCUUUCUCUCUUUUUUUUUUUGGUUUAUCAUUCUGUUUAUCAUUUAUCUACCUCUGAAAGAAGAACAUUAAAUUAGCAUAAAAUUAUAUUUUGCUAUCUAUAUCUUUUUGUAAUUUGAGUAUCUUUUGUUUAUCAUUAUAGAUUCUAUAUCAUUUGACAGCAAUAAAAUAUAUGUGUGUACAUAUUAAUCUAAUGAUAUUGUUUCAAUGUCUAUGUUGCAACUAAGCAAAAUGCAAAUUUCUGUUACUUUUUGACAUUGUUUUAAAUUUAAAACAUUUUUGUUUAGUUGUUAAUUGUUUCAAUUGUCUGAUUUCAUGAUUGUAACUCUUGCUUUUGGGGAGUUUCCUGAAUCAGUAAAUUUUACUCUAGCCAUUCA